GUGGGGAAUCUUCCGCAAUGGACGAAAGUCUGACGGAGCGACGCCGCGUGAGUGAAGAAGGCCUUCGGGUCGUAAAGCUCUGUCAUCAGGGACGAACGGCCGGUGGAGUGGAAAGCCACCGGAUUGACGGUACCUGAGAAGGAAGCCACGGCUAACUACGUGCCAGCAGCCGCGGUAAUACGUAGGUGGCAAGCGUUGUCCGGAAUUAUUGGGCGUAAAGCGCGCGCAGGUGGGAUCUUAAGUCCAUUUUUAAAGUUCGGAGCUCAACUCCGUGAUGGGAUGGAAACUGGGAUUCUUGAGUACCGGAGAGGAAAGCGGAAUUCCCCGUGUAGCGGUGAAAUGCGUAGAUAUGGGGAGGAACACCAGUGGCGAAGGCGGCUUUCUGGACGGUGUCUGACACUGAGGCGCGAAAGCCAGGGGAGCGAACGGGAUUAGCUACCCGGGUAGUCC
RNAcentral lists this ribosomal RNA (450 nucleotides) under uncultured bacterium. Its description in RNAcentral is "partial 16S ribosomal RNA". It matches the Rfam family "Bacterial small subunit ribosomal RNA", at positions 354 to 796 of the family's 1533-position model. The record is from RNAcentral.